Molecule: ribosomal RNA, 478 nt
Filed under: uncultured bacterium
Lineage: Bacteria
Description: partial 16S ribosomal RNA
Rfam family: Bacterial small subunit ribosomal RNA
Source: RNAcentral
GACGAACGCUGGCGGCGUGCUUAACACAUGCAAGUCGAACGGUAAGGCCCUUCGGGGUACACGAGUGGCGAACGGGUGAGUAACACGUGGGUGAUCUGCCCUGCACUUCGGGAUAAGCCUGGGAAACUGGGUCUAAUACCGGAUAGGACUCCGGACUGCAUGGUCUGGGGUGGAAAGCUUUUGCGGUGUGGGAUGGGCCCGCGGCCUAUCAGCUUGUUGGUGGGGUGAUGGCCUACCAAGGCGACGACGGGUAGCCGGCCUGAGAGGGUAACCGGCCACACUGGGACUGAGAUACGGCCCAGACUCCUACGGGAGGCAGCAGUGGGGAAUAUUGCACAAUGGGCGCAAGCCUGAUGCAGCGACGCCGCGUGAGGGAUGACGGCCUUCGGGUUGUAAACCUCUUUCAGCAUCGACGAAGCGAAAGUGACGGUAGAUGCAGAAGAAGGACCGGCCAACUACGUGCCAGCCGCCGCGGUAA